RNAcentral lists this small nuclear RNA (104 nucleotides) under Prolemur simus (greater bamboo lemur). Lineage: Eukaryota; Metazoa; Chordata; Mammalia; Primates; Lemuridae. The record is from RNAcentral.
GUGGUCGCUUUGGCAGCACAAGUACUAAAAUUGGAACGAUACAGAGAUUAGCAUGGCCCCUGCGCAAGGAUGACACGCAAAUUCAUGAAGCGUUCCAUAUUAAA